UCAGUUGGUUAGAGUGUGAUGCUAAUAACGUCAAAGUCGAGGGUUCGACCCCCUCUGGAACCA
Molecule: transfer RNA, 63 nt
Organism: Penicillium freii
Lineage: Eukaryota; Fungi; Ascomycota; Eurotiomycetes; Eurotiales; Aspergillaceae
Rfam family: tRNA
About the family: Transfer RNA (tRNA) molecules are approximately 80 nucleotides in length. Their secondary structure includes four short double-helical elements and three loops (D, anti-codon, and T loops).
Source: Rfam